This 286-nucleotide unclassified non-coding RNA is filed under the name plant metagenome. Its description in RNAcentral is "partial contains small subunit ribosomal RNA, internal transcribed spacer 1, and 5.8S ribosomal RNA". The stretch from base 1 to 54 matches the Rfam family "Eukaryotic small subunit ribosomal RNA", at positions 1778 to 1831 of the family's 1831-position model. The record is from RNAcentral.
GGAAGUAAAAGCCGUAACAAGGUUUCCGUAGGUGAACCUGCGGAAGGAUCAUUAUUGAAACUUCAUCCGGGGCGCCGCGGCCCUCAGCACCGGUGGAAACGCCGUGCUGCGGGGGCCGCGCGUGCACUCGUCCAAACCAAACCCCUGUGAACCUUACGGGAUGGCCCGGGUUAGCGCCCGGUGCCGUUCCGCUUUAUACAAACACUUAUCAAAGAAUGAACUGAAGGCGGUCUGACCGCUGGAUAACAAACUGAAACAACUUUCAACAACGGAUCUCUUGGCUCUC